GACGACUGAGACCUUGACAUUGCAGUAAAAAAAAAAAUUAUAAAAAUUUUAAUUAAAAUUUUCAACUAACAAAUUUUUUUUCCAUUUUCAAACUCUUGAAAUUAUCAUGGGACCCCUUGAUGCUGAUGGGACUUAGUAUUUUGAGCCACAGCCAUUUAAAGGGUAGCCGCUGAGUUCAAUCCGUUCCACCAGUUUAUUUUUCUCCAAACAACAGUGAUAACUCGAAGAAAAAUGAUACGAUCACCAUAAAAUUCAUGAAUGACGAAAAUGUUCGAAUCGCUUUAAGGAAGUAACAGUUUUUGGUAAAACUAAAUUAUAUUAUUUGAAUUAUCGGCCAUAGAAGGCGAACCAUAUAUACAGCGAACUACAAUUACGAUAGUACGAUCUAUCUUUUGGAUAAAACUAAGCCUUUGCAAGACUGAGGUUAAAAUAUCUCGGUAGUCAGACCUUCGGCAAACCAAACGAUAUAGCUGAAAAUGGCAUUCGUCGUCUCAACAAAUUUGUGGUAGGCUCAAAGCGCUUUGGCGAUUCGUGUUGGUCUUAUGAUCAAUUAUGUAGGUGUUUAAAACACUACAACGGACCGCCGUUCUAAGCUUUGCAAGAGAGAUCCCUGUUAAGAUCGACCCUUUAACAUAAUUUAUCUGUUUUGGCAACUUCAUUGCCACUAAUUUUUUCACAUACAAAGACUUCGGUGGAUGCGUAAUAAAUUUGGAGUCCAAUUAAAGCAUUUAAA
This is a non-coding RNA of Bactrocera oleae (olive fruit fly), 733 nucleotides long. The record is from RefSeq and is a predicted model, not a curated record. Lineage: Eukaryota; Metazoa; Arthropoda; Insecta; Diptera; Tephritidae.